This 253-nucleotide ribosomal RNA is filed under the name uncultured bacterium. RNAcentral's name for it is "partial 16S ribosomal RNA". It matches the Rfam family "Bacterial small subunit ribosomal RNA", at positions 524 to 776 of the family's 1533-position model. The record is from RNAcentral.
UACGGGGGGGGCAAGCGUUGUUCGGAAUUACUGGGCGUAAAGGGCUCGUAGGCGGCCAACUAAGUCAGACGUGAAAUCCCUAGGCUCAACCUAGGAACUGCGUCUGAUACUGGAUGGCUUGAAUCCGGGAGAGGGAUGCAGAAUUCCAGGUGUAGCGGUGAAAUGCGUAGAUAUCUGGAGGAACACCGGUGGCGAAGGCGGGUCUCUGGGCCGAUACUGACGCUGAGGAGCGAAAGCGUGGGGAGCAAACAGG